RNAcentral lists this ribosomal RNA (274 nucleotides) under uncultured bacterium. Its description in RNAcentral is "partial 16S ribosomal RNA". It matches the Rfam family "Bacterial small subunit ribosomal RNA", at positions 523 to 796 of the family's 1533-position model. The record is from RNAcentral.
AUACGGAGGGGGCUAGCGUUGUUCGGAAUUACUGGGCGUAAAGCGCGCGUAGGCGGACCAGUCAGUCAGGGGUGAAAUCCCGGGGCUCAACCCCGGAACUGCCUUUGAUACUGCUGGUCUUGAGUUCGAGAGAGGUGAGUGGAAUUCCGAGUGUAGAGGUGAAAUUCGUAGAUAUUCGGAGGAAUACCAGUGGCGAAGGCGGCACACUGGCUCGAUACUGACGCUGAGGUGCGAAAGCGUGGGGAGCAAACAGGAUUAGAAACCCUAGUAGUCC